AUACGUAGGGUGCAAGCGUUAAUCGGAAUUACUGGGCGUAAAGCGUGCGCAGGCGGUUUUGUAAGACAGUGGUGAAAUCCCCGGGCUCAACCUGGGAACUGCCAUUGUGACUGCAAGGCUGGAGUGCGGCAGAGGGGGAUGGAAUUCCGCGUGUAGCAGUGAAAUGCGUAGAUAUGCGGAGGAACACCGAUGGCGAAGGCAAUCCCCUGGGCCUGCACUGACGCUCAUGCACGAAAGCGUGGGGAGCAAACAGGAUUAGAUACCCUGGUAGUCCACGCCCUAAACGAUGUCAACUGGUUGUUGGGGAUUUAUUUUCUCAGUAACGAAGCUAACGCGUGAAGUUGACCGCCUGGGGAGUACGGCCGCAAGGUUAAAACUCAAAUGAAUUGGCGGGG
This 395-nucleotide ribosomal RNA is filed under the name uncultured bacterium. RNAcentral describes it as "partial 16S ribosomal RNA". It matches the Rfam family "Bacterial small subunit ribosomal RNA", at positions 523 to 918 of the family's 1533-position model. The record is from RNAcentral.